Molecule: long non-coding RNA, 123 nt
Organism: Cyprinodon tularosa
Lineage: Eukaryota; Metazoa; Chordata; Actinopteri; Cyprinodontiformes; Cyprinodontidae
Exons: 2
Source: RefSeq, a predicted model, not a curated record
CAACAGUGACUCUCCCAAGGAGAACCUCAAGAACCCUCAAGACUCCGGUGAAACCAGAUUCCAGGCCCAAACCAGUCAUCUGCAUAUUAUGUGCUUGUGCCAAUAAACUUGUUAAACUUUUCA